Molecule: ribosomal RNA, 497 nt
Filed under: uncultured bacterium
Lineage: Bacteria
Description: partial 16S ribosomal RNA
Rfam family: Bacterial small subunit ribosomal RNA
Source: RNAcentral
GAUGAACGCUGGCGGCGUGCCUAAUACAUGCAAGUCGAGCGAACAGACGAGGCGCUUGCUCCUCUGACGUUAGCGGCGGACGGGUGAGUAACACGUGGAUAACCUACCUAUAAGACUGGGAUAACUUAGAGAAACCGGAGCUAAUACUGGAUAAUAUAUUGAACCGCAUGGUUCAAUAGUGAAAGUCGGUUUUGCUGUCACGUAUCGAUGGCUCCGCGCCGGAUUAGCUAGUUGGUGAGGUAACGGCUUACCAAGGCAACGAUGCCUAGCCGACCUGAGGGGGUGAUCGGCCACACUGGAACUGAGACACGGUCCAGACUCCGACGGGAGGCAGCAGUAGGGAAUCUUCCGCAAUGGGCGAAAGCUUGACGGAGCAACGCCGCGUGAGUGAUGAAGGUCUUCGGAUCGUAAAACUCUGUUAUUAGGGAAGAACAAAUGUAUAAGUAACUAUGCACGUCUUGACGGUACCUAAUCAGAAAGCCACGGCUAACUACGUG